AUGAAUCCCUACGCCGACAACCGCUACGCCGACCCCUCCUCCUACCGCGACAGGCGCAGCGACCUGGCCGCGGCCCCUAUACUCGCCCCUCCGGUCCCCGUGGCCCCCGCCCAGAACCCCUACGCCGCCCCGUACACGCCCAUGGCCGCCCCCGUCGGUGGCUUCGGCCAGGGCGGCGGAGGCUACGGCGGUGGCAUGGGAUACGGCGGUAGAGGCAGAGGCGGCGGCGGCGGCGGCGGUGGACCAGGUGGCUUCCGUGGCGGCGGUGGCAGAGGCGGCAGCAACGGGAGGGACGGGCUCGACUCGCUCUCCCUGCCCAAGGCGGACUUCCGGGGCCUUAUACCGUUCGAGAAGAGCUUCUACGUGGAGUGCCCCGCCGUGCAGGCUAUGUCGGACACGGAGGUGGCGCAGUACCGUCAGCUCCGGGAUAUCACCGUGGAAGGCCGGGAGGUGCCCAAGCCUAUCCGCUUCUUCCAUGAAGCUAACUUUCCAGAUUACUGCAUGCAAGCAAUUGCUAAGUCCGGAUUUGUGGAGCCAACGCCUAUCCAAGCUCAGGGAUGGCCGAUGGCCUUGAAGGGCAGGGAUGUGAUUGGUAUUGCAGAAACUGGAUCCGGGAAAACACUAUCUUACAUACUACCUGGUUUGGUUCAUGUUGGUGCACAGCCUCGACUAGAACAAGGUGAUGGCCCGAUUGUCUUGAUCCUUGCCCCAACAAGAGAACUGGCUGUCCAAAUACAGGCAGAAGCUACAAAAUUUGGAUCAUACUCGAGAACUAGAAGCACAUGUAUCUACGGUGGAGCACCUAAGGGACCACAAAUACGUGACCUAAGGAGAGGAGUUGAAAUUGUCAUUGCAACACCAGGCCGGUUGAUCGAUAUGCUGGAAGCUGGUCACACAAACCUACGCCGGGUUACAUACCUUGUCCUGGAUGAGGCAGACCGUAUGCUCGAUAUGGGUUUUGAACCUCAGAUUCGAAAAAUAUUGGCACAAAUCCGUCCGGACAGGCAAACCUUGUACUGGAGUGCCACGUGGCCGAGAGAAGUUGAAACGCUGGCUAGACAAUUUCUACAAAACCCUUACAAGGUAAUGAUAGGAACAGCUGAACUUAAAGCUAACCAUUCCAUACAGCAAAUUGUUGAAGUUAUCUCGGAUCAUGAAAAAUAUCCCAGGCUAAGUAAACUUUUAUCUGAUCUGAUGGAUGGGAGCCGAAUCUUGAUAUUUUUUCAAACAAAGAAGGAAUGUGAUAAGGUCACUCGGCAACUUAGAAUGGACGGAUGGCCAGCAUUAUCUAUACAUGGCGAUAAAGCUCAGUCUGAAAGGGACUAUGUUCUGGCAGAGUUUAAAAAUGGGAAGAGUCCUAUAAUGGCUGCCACAGAUGUAGCGGCACGUGGUCUUGAUGUGAAGGAUAUUAAGUGCGUGAUUAAUUUUGAUUUCCCGACAACUAUCGAGGAUUAUAUUCACAGGAUAGGCCGAACUGGCCGUGCUGGUGCUACCGGGAUGGCAUUUACGUUCUUCACACAUUCCAAUGCAAAAUAUUCAAGGAAUCUCGUUAAGAUCUUGCGCGAAGCUGGGCAGGUUGUGAAUCCAGCGCUAGAAGCUAUGUCCAAGUCCUCUGGUUCUAUGGGAGGAGGAGGCAAUUUCCGGUCAAGAGGCCGAGGUGGGUUUGGUGGUGGGUAUGGUGGUAACCGUUCUGGAUCAAAUUCCAUUCCAGUACGUAGAAGAUACUAA
RNAcentral lists this ribosomal RNA (1728 nucleotides) under Triticum aestivum (bread wheat). Its description in RNAcentral is "partial small subunit ribosomal RNA". The record is from RNAcentral. Lineage: Eukaryota; Viridiplantae; Streptophyta; Magnoliopsida; Poales; Poaceae.